Molecule: ribosomal RNA, 492 nt
Filed under: uncultured bacterium
Lineage: Bacteria
Description: partial 16S ribosomal RNA
Rfam family: Bacterial small subunit ribosomal RNA
Source: RNAcentral
AGUGAACGCUGGCGGUAGGCCUAACACAUGCAAGUCGAACGGCAGCACAGUAAGAGCUUGCCCUUACGGGUGGCGAGUGGCGGACGGGUGAGGAAUACAUCGGAAUCUACUUUUUCGUGGGGGAUAACGUAGGGCAACUUACGCUAAUACCGCAUACGACCUACGGGUGAAAGCAGGAGAUCUUCGGACCUUUCGCGACAGAAUGAGCCGAUGUCGGAUUAGCUAGUUGGCGGGGUAAGGGCCCACCAAGGCAACGAUCCGUAGCUGGUCUGAGAGGAUGAUCAGCCACACUGGAACUGAGACACGGUCCAGACUCCUACGGGAGGCAGCAGUGGGGAAUAUUGCACAAUGGGCGCAAGCCUGAUCGAGCCAUACCGCGUGAGUGAAGAAGGUCUUCGGGUUGUAAAGCUCUGUUAUUGGGAAAGAAAAGCAGCGGGAGUAUCCACCGCUGUUCUGACGGUACCCAAAGAAUAAGCACCGGCUAACUUCGUG